This 467-nucleotide ribosomal RNA is filed under the name uncultured bacterium. Its description in RNAcentral is "partial 16S ribosomal RNA". It matches the Rfam family "Bacterial small subunit ribosomal RNA", at positions 28 to 507 of the family's 1533-position model. The record is from RNAcentral.
GACGAACGCUGGCGGCGUGCUUAACACAUGCAAGUCGAACGGUGAUGCUCCAGCUUGCUGGAGUGGAUCAGUGGCGAACGGGUGAGUAACACGUGAGCAACCUGCCCCAGACUCUGGAAUAAGCGCUGGAAACGGCGUCUAAUACUGGAUACGAAACUGGCCCGCAUGGGCAUGGUUUGGAAAGUUUUUCGGUUUGGGAUGGGCUCGCGGCCUAUCAGCUUGUUGGUGAGGUAAUGGCUCACCAAGGCGACGACGGGUAGCGGCCUGAGAGGGCGACCGGCCACACUGGGACUGAGACACGGCCCAGACUCCUACGGGAGGCAGCAGUGGGGAAUAUUGCACAAUGGGCGAAAGCCUGAUGCAGCGACGCCGCGUGAGGGAUGACGGCCUUCGGGUUGUAAACCUCUUUCAGCAGGGAAGAAGCGAAAGUGACGGUACCUGCAGAAGAAGCACCGGCUAACUACGUG